UAUUGAUGUUGGUCUAAGUUACCCUAAA
This 28-nucleotide small RNA is filed under the name Bombyx mori (domestic silkworm). RNAcentral's name for it is "piRNA piR-bmo-1358547". Lineage: Eukaryota; Metazoa; Arthropoda; Insecta; Lepidoptera; Bombycidae. The record is from RNAcentral.